GAGACGUUAGUUAACCUAUUACAUAGCCUUGUCAAGACUAAAUCACAGGUGAAAAUCCCGUACUUCUCA
This 69-nucleotide transfer RNA is filed under the name Columba livia (rock pigeon). RNAcentral's name for it is "tRNA-Asp". It matches the Rfam family "tRNA". From Rfam's summary of the family: Transfer RNA (tRNA) molecules are approximately 80 nucleotides in length. Their secondary structure includes four short double-helical elements and three loops (D, anti-codon, and T loops). Further hydrogen bonds mediate the characteristic L-shaped molecular structure. tRNAs have two regions of fundamental functional importance: the anti-codon, which is responsible for specific mRNA codon recognition, and the 3' end, to which the tRNAs corresponding amino acid is attached (by aminoacyl-tRNA synthetases). tRNAs cope with the degeneracy of the genetic code in two manners: having more than one tRNA (with a specific anti-codon) for a particular amino acid; and 'wobble' base-pairing, i.e. permitting non-standard base-pairing at the 3rd anti-codon position. Lineage: Eukaryota; Metazoa; Chordata; Aves; Columbiformes; Columbidae. The record is from RNAcentral.